GGGAAUGUGGCUUAGUGGUAAAGUGCUUGCAUCACAUGCAUGAAGCCCUGGGUUUGAUUCCUCAGUACCG
Molecule: transfer RNA, 70 nt
Filed under: Dipodomys ordii (Ord's kangaroo rat)
Lineage: Eukaryota; Metazoa; Chordata; Mammalia; Rodentia; Heteromyidae
Rfam family: tRNA
About the family: Transfer RNA (tRNA) molecules are approximately 80 nucleotides in length. Their secondary structure includes four short double-helical elements and three loops (D, anti-codon, and T loops).
Source: Rfam by way of RNAcentral